AAAUUUCAUCGAAUCGCUUCGAUCCAAAUUAGCCAAAAAUUCCUGAGGAUGUAACGAACAAUUUGUAAAAAGAAUUUUGUCGCUUUCUUAUUUUGUUACGAAGGAGAUGCACACACAUGACAAACAGUGAAUAGGGAGAUAACUCUUACAAAGAAAAUGGUUCGGCUUAGCAGGGUGAAAUUUAAAAGCGCAUAAACUAUACGAUACAAUAUGAAAAAAAUCUAAGCGACAUAUUGCGAAACAAACAUUUAUCGCAAGAACAAAAUUUGGCGGAAAAAAAAAAAAAAUAAAAUAAUAAUAAUAAUAAUCAGAAC
This 314-nucleotide long non-coding RNA is filed under the name Mytilus galloprovincialis (Mediterranean mussel). The record is from RNAcentral. Lineage: Eukaryota; Metazoa; Mollusca; Bivalvia; Mytilida; Mytilidae.